Molecule: ribosomal RNA, 550 nt
Filed under: uncultured bacterium
Lineage: Bacteria
Description: bacterial SSU rRNA
Rfam family: Bacterial small subunit ribosomal RNA
Source: RNAcentral
UAGGGAAUCUUCGGCAAUGGGGGCAACCCUGACCGAGCAACGCCGCGUGAGUGAAGAAGGUUUUCGGAUCGUAAAGCUCUGUUGUAAGUCAAGAACGAGUGUGAGAGUGGAAAGUUCACACUGUGACGGUAGCUUACCAGAAAGGGACGGCUAACUACGUGCCAGCAGCCGCGGUAAUACGUAGGUCCCGAGCGUUGUCCGGAUUUAUUGGGCGUAAAGCGAGCGCAGGCGGUUUGAUAAGUCUGAAGUUAAAGGCUGUGGCUCAACCAUAGUUCGCUUUGGAAACUGUCAAACUUGAGUGCAGAAGGGGAGAGUGGAAUUCUAUGUGUAGCGGUGAAAUGCGUAGAUAUAUGGAGGAACACCGGUGGCGAAAGCGGCUCUCUGGUCUGUAACUGACGCUGAGGCUCGAAAGCGUGGGGAGCGAGCAGGAUUAGAUACCCUGGUAGUCCACGCCGUAAACGAUGAGUGCUAGGUGUUGGGUCCUUUCCGGGAUUCAGUGCCGCAGCUAACGCAUUAAGCACUCCGCCUGGGGAGUACGACCGCAAGGUUG